Molecule: ribosomal RNA, 492 nt
Filed under: uncultured bacterium
Lineage: Bacteria
Description: partial 16S ribosomal RNA
Rfam family: Bacterial small subunit ribosomal RNA
Source: RNAcentral
AGUGAACGCUGGCGGUAGGCCUAACACAUGCAAGUCGAACGGCAACACCGUAAGAGCUUGCUCUUACGGGUGGCGGGUCGCGGACGUGUCAGGAAUGCAUCGGAAUCUACUUUUUCGUGGGGGUUAACGUAGGGAAACUUACGCUAAUACCGCAUACGCCCUACGGGUGAAAGCAGGGGAUCUUCUGACCUUGCGCGAUUGAAUGAGCCGAUGUCGGAUUAGCUAGUUGGCGGGGUAAAGGCCCACCAAGUGGACGAUCCGUAGCCGGUGUGAGAGGAUGGUCGGCCACACUGGAACUGAGACAGCGUCCAGAGGCCUACGGGAGGCAGCAGUGGGGAAUAUUGGACAAUGGGGGCAAGCCUGAUACAGCCAGACCGCGUGUGUGAAGAAGGCGUUGGGGGUGUAAAGCCCUUUUGUUGGGAAAGAAAAGCAGCAGGUUAAUACCCCGCGGUUCUGACGGUACCCAAAGAAUAAGCACCGGCUAACUUCGUG